AGGGUUGGGCUGUUCGCCCAUUAAAGCGGCACGCGAGGUGGGUUCAGAACGUCGUGAGACAGUUCGGUCCCUAUCCGUCGCGGGCGCAGGCAAUUUGAGAGGAGCUGUCCUUAGUACGAGAGGACCGGGAUGGACACACCGCUGGUGUACCAGUUGUUCCGCCAGGAGCAUCGCUGGGUAGCUAAGCUAUGUAGGGAUAAACGCUGAAAGCAUCUAAG
RNAcentral lists this ribosomal RNA (218 nucleotides) under Listeria monocytogenes. RNAcentral's name for it is "partial 23S ribosomal RNA". It matches the Rfam family "Bacterial large subunit ribosomal RNA", at positions 2568 to 2785 of the family's 2925-position model. The record is from RNAcentral. Lineage: Bacteria; Bacillati; Bacillota; Bacilli; Caryophanales; Listeriaceae.